AACGAACGCUGGCGGCAUGCCUAACACAUGCAAGUCGAACGAGACCUUCGGGUCUAGUGGCGCACGGGUGCGUAACGCGUGGGAAUCUACCCUUGGGCUCGGAAUAACUCAGAGAAAUUUGAGCUAAUACCGGAUGAUGUCGCAAGACCAAAGAUUUAUCGCCCAAGGAUGAGCCCGCGUAGGAUUAGCUUGUUGGUGAGGUAAAAGCUCACCAAGGCGACGAUCCUUAGCUGGUCUGAGAGGAUGAUCAGCCACACUGGGACUGAGACACGGCCCAGACUCCUACGGGAGGCAGCAGUGGGGAAUAUUGGACAAUGGGCGAAAGCCUGAUCCAGCAAUGCCGCGUGAGUGAUGAAGGCCUUAGGGUUGUAAAGCUCUUUUACCCGGGAUGAUAAUGACAGUACCGGGAGAAUAAGCCCCGGCUAACUCCGUGCCAGCAGCCGCGGUAAU
RNAcentral lists this ribosomal RNA (450 nucleotides) under uncultured bacterium. RNAcentral describes it as "bacterial SSU rRNA". It matches the Rfam family "Bacterial small subunit ribosomal RNA", at positions 29 to 524 of the family's 1533-position model. The record is from RNAcentral.